GACUUGUUGGCGCACUCGGCAGCGCACCCACAGCAAUUGGUAUUAGGAACAUCCAGAGUAUUUACGUGGGAGGCCCCAGUUCGACUCUGGGACAGGUCA
Molecule: non-coding RNA, 99 nt
Organism: Mycena rebaudengoi
Lineage: Eukaryota; Fungi; Basidiomycota; Agaricomycetes; Agaricales; Mycenaceae
Source: the annotation of a GenBank genome assembly